RNAcentral lists this ribosomal RNA (484 nucleotides) under uncultured bacterium. RNAcentral's name for it is "partial 16S ribosomal RNA". It matches the Rfam family "Bacterial small subunit ribosomal RNA", at positions 29 to 507 of the family's 1533-position model. The record is from RNAcentral.
AUUGAACGCUGGCGGCAUGCUUUACACAUGCAAGUCGAACGGCAGCGCGGGCUUCGGCCUGGCGGCGAGUGGCGAACGGGUGAGUAAUACAUCGGAACGUGCCCAGUAGUGGGGGAUAGCUCGGCGAAAGCCGGAUUAAUACCGCAUCCGACCUGAGGGUGAAAGCGGGGGAUCUUCUGACCUCGCGCUAUUGGAGCGGCCGAUGGCAGAUUAGCUAGUUGGUGGGGUAAAGGCCUACCAAGGCGACGAUCUGUAGCUGGUCUGAGAGGACGACCAGCCACACUGGGACUGAGACACGGCCCAGACUCCUACGGGAGGCAGCAGUGGGGAAUUUUGGACAAUGGGCGAAAGCCUGAUCCAGAAAUGCCGCGUGUGUGAUGAAGGCCUUCGGGUUGUAAAGCACUUUUGGAGGGAACGAAAAGGACUGUGCCAAUACCACGGUUCGAUGACGGUACCCGCAGAAUAAGCACCGGCUAACUACGUG